Molecule: long non-coding RNA, 2545 nt
Filed under: Salmo salar (Atlantic salmon)
Lineage: Eukaryota; Metazoa; Chordata; Actinopteri; Salmoniformes; Salmonidae
Description: lncRNA (ENSSSAG00000120628.1)
Source: RNAcentral
GCUGUAUAUCUCUCUCUGGACAGACUGAGCUGUAUAUCUCUCUGGACAGACUGAGCUGUAUAUCUCUCUCUGGACAGACUGAGCUGUAUAUCUCUCUCUGGACAGACUGAGCUGUAUAUCUCUCUGGACAGACUGAGCUGUAUAUCUCUCUCUGGACAGACUGAGCUGUAUAUCUCUCUCUAGACAGACUGAGCUGUAUAUCUCUCUCUAGACAGACUGAGCUCUGUAUAUCUCUCUGGACAGACUGAGCUGUAUAUCUCUCUCUCUCAGACAGAUUCCUUUUCAAUCCUUCAAAUACAUCAAAUAACAUUCUGAUUCAUUUGGCCUUUUUGUGUGAGUCCCAUUUCGCUGUAAAUCUGUGGGUAAAUCUUACAACAGGUUUACAUUGUAACGUGUGAUGCUGCAUUGUGUAUUCACAUCUGAUGCUUUAUUCAUUAGGUAUUCAUCAGUAGAAAGCAAUGAGUAUUUAAAUCACAGUACAGACAGUAGUUUCACACACUAACAGAGACUAACAGAGUGUCUGGCAGGUUAGAGCCUGGGGUUAGGGGUCAGGGGUUAGAGGAUAGGGGGUUAGAGGUUAGAGAAUAGGGGUUAGGGGUUAGAGGUUAGGGAAUAGGGGUUAGAGGUUAGGGGUUAGGGGUCAGAGGAUAGCGGUUAGAGUCAGGCAGUAACAGGUGAUAGCAGCAGCAGCUAGAGAGUAGUCAAGGCCCGUGAUGCUGCAAAGCGUUUCAAUGAGACUCCGUCAUCGCCAACCAAUCAGGUCCUCAGCCUGCUGCGUCUGUCUGCGUGGGGGGAGGGGCCAAAGACUGUCCAGUUAAAGGCCGUCUGUCAGACCAAUCACCUCAAGGCUUCAGCCUCCAUGAAAAAUCACAGGGAUCACAGCAAAACAGCAAUAAGAGCAUCACACGUGUUAUAACAGACGUUACAAGGUGUUAUAACAGAUGUUACAAUGUGUUAUAACAGACGUUACCAUGUUUUAUAACAGUGUUAUGGAUGUAUGAGAUGUUAAAACACAUUGUAACAGUGUUAUAGAUGUAUGAGAUGUUACAAUGUGUUAUAACAGAUGUUACAAUGUGUUAUAACAGAGUACAAUGUGUUAUAACAGUGUUAUAGAUGUAUGAAUGUUACAAUGUUUUAUAACAGAUGUUACAAUGUGUUAUGACAGUGUUAUAGAAGUAUGAGACGUUACAAUGUGUUAUAACAGUGUUAUAGAAGUAUGAGACGUUACAAGGUGUUAUAACAGGUGUUAUAACAGUGUUAUAGAUGUAUGAGGACCAUGUAUAUAAUAUAGGAUCAUGUUAACAGACUGCUCUACCUGAGAAAACCUUUUCCACACAGACACUCUUAACUUUCCCAUGGUCACAUCCCACCACAGACAGACAGGGGAUUCAGAACCACAGACAGACAGGGGAUUCAGAACCACAGACAGACAGGGGAUUCAGAACCACAGACAGACAGGGGAUUCAGAACCACAGACAUGUUAACAGACAGACAGGGGAUUCAGAACCACAGACAGACAGGGGAUUCAGAACCACAGACAUACAGGGGAUUCAGAACCACAGACAGACAGGGGAUUCAGAUCCACAGACAGACAGGGGAUUCAGAUCCACAGACAUACAGGUGAUUCAGAACCACAGACAUGCUAACAGACAGACAGACGGGAUUAAGACCCACAGACAUGUUAACAGACAGACAGACGGGAUUAAGAACCACAUAUGUGGAAUCCAGUGUCUGAUUCAAUACAAUGUGAACUUCUCUCUCUCUCUCUCUCUCUCUCUCUCUCUCUCUCUCUCUCUCUCUCUCUCUCUCGUUCCAAAGUACCCUCUGAAUAUAGUGUUUUAGCAACCCAGAUAUUGUCCUGUUUCAACAACGCAUGCCAUCCUCAGAAAUGUAGCGUCAAUAGUUAAACCCUGUCUCCCUCCAAUCAGACGAAGGUGUUGGGAGGAUUGGCACUGAUUGGCCAGGCCAGCUUCUUCUCCUUGGCCUCGCGGUCAAACGUGUCGUAGACUGAGUCUUUGGCGAGUGUCGUCUUGGUCGCCGCGGGGACGUCGACCACGCCCACGUAGUUGUUCUUGGCCAUGCGGGAGCUGGCGGUGAUGGUGUAGGCGUUGCUACGGUAACACUUCAUAGAGGACGUGCAGAAGGUCUCCCCUCGUGCCGCGUCUGAAGUUAGCGUUGUAGACGGAGUAGAGCGACGGUUUGGAGGCGGCGGAGCUAAACGCCACCCACAUCACGCAGCAGAAGACCAGAGCCCCUUGUCUGCUGGGGCCCGGGGCCUCACUAGGGUGCCACAGCUGGACAACGUAGAAGGGAGUCCAGGUGAGGAGGAACACAACGUUCAACAUGAGAAACAUCUUGAUGGUCUUCACUUUAGUCCUUGGGACGAUGUUCAUGGUUCUCCGGACCGUGUGUCCGUCUGCGCCCGAUCCUCCAGAUGUAACGGACGACGCGCUGGUAAAACCACACGAUGAGGACGGCUGGGAUCAAGAAACCCAGGAGCAGGUGGGCGGAUCCGUACGCCACGCCGUCCCAGCUUCCCGCCGGC